CAGCAGCCGCGGUAAUACAGAGGGUGCGAGCGUUAAUCGGAUUUACUGGGCGUAAAGCGUGCGUAGGCGGCUAAUUGAGUCGGAUGUGAAAUCCCCGAGCUUAACUUGGGAAUUGCAUUCGAUACUGGUUAGCUAGAGUGUGGGAGAGGAUGGUAGAAUUCCAGGUGUAGCGGUGAAAUGCGUAGAGAUCUGGAGGAAUACCGAUGGCGAAGGCAGCCAUCUGGCCUAACACUGACGCUGAGGUACGAAAGCAUGGGGAGCAAACAGGAUUAGAGACCCCCGUAGUCCCUGUCUCUUAUAU
Molecule: ribosomal RNA, 301 nt
Filed under: uncultured bacterium
Lineage: Bacteria
Description: partial 16S ribosomal RNA
Rfam family: Bacterial small subunit ribosomal RNA
Source: RNAcentral